Molecule: ribosomal RNA, 466 nt
Filed under: uncultured bacterium
Lineage: Bacteria
Description: bacterial SSU rRNA
Rfam family: Bacterial small subunit ribosomal RNA
Source: RNAcentral
CUUCCAGACUCCUACGGGAGGCAGCAGUGAGGAAUAUUGGUCAAUGGCCGGAAGGCUGAACCAGCCAUGCCGCGUGAAGGUCAGUGCCCUAUGGGCGUUAAACUUCUUUUGUGCGGGAGCAAUAAUGGUCACGUGUGGCCAGACGAGAGUACCGUACGAAUAAGCAUCGGCUAACUCCGUGCCAGCAGCCGCGGUAAUACGGGGGAUGCAAGCGUUAUCCGGAUUUAUUGGGUUUAAAGGGUGCGCAGGCGGUUCUGUAAGAGCGGGGGAAAACGCCGGGGCCCCACCCCCGCCCCGCCGUUGAAACUGGCAGUCUCGAGUUGGAGAGAAGUAUGCGGAAUGCGCGGUGUAGCGGUGAAAUGCAUAGAUAUCGCGCAGAACUCCGAUUGCGAAGGCAGCAUGCCGGCUCCACACUGACGCUGAGGCACGAAAGCGUGGGUAUCGAACAGGAUUAGAUACCCGAGUA